CACAUGACUCUCGGCAACGGAUAUCUCGGCUCUCGCAUCGAUGAAGAACGUAGCGAAAUGCGAUACCUGGUGUGAAUUGCAGAAUCCCGCGAAUCAUCGAGUCUUUGAACGCAAGUUGCGCCCGAGGCCACUCGGUCGAGGGCACGCCUGCCUGGGCGUCACGC
This 164-nucleotide ribosomal RNA is filed under the name Bromus pellitus. RNAcentral's name for it is "5.8S ribosomal RNA". It matches the Rfam family "5.8S ribosomal RNA". From Rfam's summary of the family: 5.8S ribosomal RNA (5.8S rRNA) is a component of the large subunit of the eukaryotic ribosome. It is transcribed by RNA polymerase I as part of the 45S precursor that also contains 18S and 28S rRNA. Lineage: Eukaryota; Viridiplantae; Streptophyta; Magnoliopsida; Poales; Poaceae. The record is from RNAcentral.